AGUGGUGUGAUCCCAGCUGACUGCAGCCUCAAGCAAUCCUCUCAGCCUCCUGAGUAGCUGGGACCAUGGGUAUGCACCACCACGCUUGUCUUUCUGGGGUUUUGAGAUGAUGGCAUUGCCAUGUCUCUGCAGAAAUAACUUCUUCAGGCAUAUGUCAGCUACAAGGAGGCAUUAUUUAAAUGAAACAGUAGGUUCUGAGAAACAGAAGAGUAGGUUUGGGAAAGUUCUCACUCACGUGCUUGUAAAAAAUAAAGCAAACUGCUAGCAUCAGAGUGGGCAGUUAGCAGCCGCCUUUCAGAACAGGAAGCAAAAUGAAUGAAAAAUUAAUGCCUCAUGUGUCAGGCAUUCUAUGGGCUUUGUCUCAUUUGGCCCUCACAACAACUUUGUGAGGUGGACAAGUGUUAUUCCCAUUGUACUGAUGAGGGAACAGACUCAAAUCGUUGAUUUACCCAACAUCACAGCCAGUAUGUAGCAAUCUUUGGCUCAGAACUCAGGUCUCCCGUGUCAACUCAGGAUGCCUCUGGCAGUGGAGCACACUGCUGCCCCUUCCACUUUUUCUAGCACAUUCUGAAGAUGCAUGAAGCCUGAGUCAUUCACUUUAAAUCAAGCCAAAACAAAGUGGGCUUCAGUGUGGACUUCUGAGUGCUAGAUACUGAGUUGCCCUUAAAAAAAAAUUAACUUAUUUUAAGCACUGAAAGCUCAGAUUUCCACAAAAUUCAGUUCUCAAUAAAUCCUAUGGCUGAAUUCUUUACAGACAUUUUGGAAAGAAUGCCAAAAAAAAAAAAUCUGAAACUAAAAAUAGGAUGUUUGUUAAAGUCCCACACCAGAAGAUAAUUUAGAAAUUUAUUACAAAACUUUUAAUAAAAAAUACAAUGAUAUUACAAAUUUGGUUUUCCAAAGCUUUCAAAUUUUUCUUAACAUUAUCUUUCGUUUUAAGAACACUUUUGAAGUCGGCAGUUAUUUAAAAUCCUUACUAGAAAAAAACCAAAGCCCAAGGAUUUUGCAUUUAGUCAUCAUCUAGGUAUACAGCGUGUUUUCCGAAAGCAUCCUUUAAGAGUUUGGAGAUUUGAUGAAAUUGCUCAUGUAAUAAGCAGUUAGUGAAUACUAUUGAAUCCUAAACCCAGAUAAGUCAUCUUGGGCUGGCUGUGUUUUUCAUGUGAAGAAACUCAUUUAUAGCACAGGCACCCCAGGCCAAUAGAGAUGAUUACAGAUCUCUGGUUUCAGAAGUUCUGACCCCUUAUUCAGCUACCAAAUACUUAAUUGCUAAAGGAAUUACUCCCAGCAGGCACAAAACGGUUUCUGAAUAUGACAGAAAAGGUACACAAAGAAUCAUUUAAGACAUCCUGGUUACAACAUACUUUAUCUUUAAAAGGGUGUGAGAGUAGUUGGGGAACUUAGAAAUUCUGUGACUUAGGUGUGGGUGGAUCUUAUUUAGGAAGACUAAAGCUAUGGACACAACACGUGAAAGAACCACUCAGAAGCAGCCCUAGGAAGCCCAGGUGCCCACAUCGAAAGCACUCCCAGGUGAAAGCAGCCAGGCAGGCGUGGGCAUUGUACAACCAGCCUCAGGCCUCAGUUCUUGAUUGUGGUUGACGGGGCGUCACCAUGAAGGAGCCCAUUUAGUAUAAAGCUUCCAACCUUUUCUCUUAAUCGUUUCUUUAAUCUUUUAAACCAUCUUCAAGUGCAUAGGGGAGUUUCCGAUGCCAGAGGAUGAAAGCAAGUGCUUUCUCCACCCUCUCCUCCCAGAGUGAAAACAAAUCCUUUUGCUGAUACUUGUUUCAAAAGCAUCCAUUGUAAAGCUUCUCAGUGACACAAAAUACUGAGAGGUAACUUUUUAUCAAUCAAACCACAUACCCCAAUUUAACACCUUUCAGUGCUCUGAAUUCAACUGACAGACUAAAGGGUGUUUCCUGUAACAGUCUGAAAUAUUAAGUGUUUUUUUUGUUUUGUUUUUAAAUCUUAUUUCAGAAAACUUCCUCUUGGGGUAGGAAAGUACACAUGAAGCAGCAAAGUAACGAAGAAAAACUUAAAUAGGGCCUUCAGAGAUCCCACACACUACAAAGAUUCUGCCAAGCCAUAAGAUAAGUGUGAAGCCCAGUAUAUGUCCAGCUUUUCUCCUCAGGACAUCUUCAGUGUUUCUUCUCUUUUAAACACCACAUCAGGUUCUAGCCACAGACUUGUGUUUUGGGUGUGCCUGCUUUGAGGGGUCCAUGCCCAGUGUGUCUGCUGGUGACCCAGGACUCAGCAGUAAUGACUAACGGCCGCCCUUCAGGAUCACAGAUGUGCUUGGUGGUGGUGGCAAAGCAUGGCACUUGUGUGCAGUGAUGAGAAGCAGCACACGGCAAGGCUGAGCCCUUUAUCAGCAGGCCUCCGUAGAGCGUGUCUGCGUUGUCAGCUGCCAAUGGGCUGAGUGGCUGGCCGUACCCACUCAGUCCAAGAGAGGAAGGAAACAGCAGGAGAAGCUGUCAGCUUGCCAUUCAUGAGCUGCUGCUGCCCACCAAAGCUGCUUACUGGCAAGAAGAGAUGUGGGGAAGACAUGAGCUGGUGAACACCAACCUGGUGCACAUGCUGCCAAGUCUGGCCCCUGAAGAGGAGAGGGAGUGCAGAGUCCAAAAUUGACCGGGGCUCCUGCUCUGGCAUGGAGCUGGGUCAGAGGUGAGAGAGGACCUGGAUCCUAGGGCUCACGCAGGUGUCGGGCGGGUGCCAGGGUCUUUUCACUCCAACUUUUUGGCUGGCACCCGUGUCCGAGCAACAAGGAUGGGCACAAGGGCCAGGCCGGCAAUGAGGAGGGCCCACAGGGGUCGGUAGAAGAGCCAGCCAGCCGCCACGGUCAGCAGGGUCAGCGAGGUGGCCACACAGAAGGCAAAGGCUUUCAGGCCAAUGUUGACCAGGUCUCGGAAAACAGGAAACCAGUCCACUGUGGAAAGGAGAAAGGUGAUGAGGUGCCACCUGCUCUACACCUCACCAGCUCAGCAGAUCUCUCCUGUCCCUAGAUGAGGAUGGGCCCAUGUUGCUACAUGCAUGAGGAGGGGAGAGGAUCAGUGGGUGGAAGGCAAGGAGCUUCGUU
RNAcentral lists this long non-coding RNA (3067 nucleotides) under Homo sapiens (human). RNAcentral's name for it is "non-protein coding lnc-XPC-7:1". The record is from RNAcentral. Lineage: Eukaryota; Metazoa; Chordata; Mammalia; Primates; Hominidae.